This 253-nucleotide ribosomal RNA is filed under the name uncultured bacterium. RNAcentral describes it as "partial 16S ribosomal RNA". It matches the Rfam family "Bacterial small subunit ribosomal RNA", at positions 524 to 776 of the family's 1533-position model. The record is from RNAcentral.
UACAUGGGGUGCAAACGUUGCUCGGAAUUAUUGGGCGUAAAGCGCGCGUAGGCGGUUACUCAAGUCGGAUGUGAAAGCCCUCGGCUUAACUGAGGAAGUGCACCCGAAACUGAGUAGCUAGAGUACUAAAGAGGGUCGCGGAAUUCCCGGUGUAGAGGUGAAAUUCGUAGAUAUCGGGAGGAACACCGGUGGUGAAGGCGGCGACCUGGGUAGAUACUGACGCUGAGGCGCGAAAGCGUGGGGAGCAAACAGG